This 87-nucleotide ribosomal RNA is filed under the name Streptococcus equinus. RNAcentral describes it as "partial 16S rRNA. Bacterial SSU". It matches the Rfam family "Bacterial small subunit ribosomal RNA", at positions 1 to 90 of the family's 1533-position model. The record is from RNAcentral. Lineage: Bacteria; Bacillati; Bacillota; Bacilli; Lactobacillales; Streptococcaceae.
AUUAAAUGAGAGUUUGAUCCUGGCUCAGGACGAACGCUGGCGGCGUGCCUAAUACAUGCAAGUAGAACGCUGAAGACUUUAGCUUGC